This is a long non-coding RNA of Mustela erminea (ermine), 773 nucleotides long. RefSeq lists it as uncharacterized. The transcript is spliced from 3 exons. NCBI's taxonomy places the organism in Eukaryota, Metazoa, Chordata, Mammalia, Carnivora, Mustelidae. The record is from RefSeq and is a predicted model, not a curated record.
GCUCCUACAAGGGUUCACUAAGUGAGUACCGAGGGCGGGCUGGGAUGAGGAGGGAAAGUCAGGGACUACUCAUCAGAUGUGAAGACGGAGAGACUCAAGUAGGAGUUAGCUAGUGAAGAGCCAGGAGACAUUGUGGAAAGAGAGUUUUGGUGAAAGACAACAGUACAUGUGAAGACCCCAAGAGAUGUACAGAAGGAAGACCACAUGAAGACACCAGGAGAUGUCAGCCUUCUUUGAGCAGAGGAAAGAGACCUCAAAAGAAACCAACGCUGCUGACACCUUCAUCUUAGACUUUUAGUCUCAAGAACUGACUCCCAGUGAUGCCUGUACAGCCCUGGAUCUUCAGAGACCAAGAUUUGAAGAAUGCUGACUUAAUAACUUAAUUCAAUUUUAGGGAGGAAACAUAAUAUUUAUUUUGCUCUGACAGCAUGAGGUUUGAAUAUCUCUACUCCUGAGUAGAGGCAACUCUUCUCUAUGUUUCUUGAAUCUCAACAAGGAGAAUCUCUUCUGGUGGUGCUUAAAUGAAGUCCAACCAGGAAAUUUCAUAGAAGAAGGCAAAAUAUUUGACACACUCUACUUACUCAGGUAUAAUGCUCUCUGAAGAUGUGGAUUCCAUUUCUUCAUCUGAGUUUACAUAAACUGUAGAAUGAAUAAGGAAAAUCUUGAUGAGAGAAAAUUCAAAUAAUGCUAUAAUCUCAGAGGAUCCUUAUAACAGCCCUGUAGGGUAGAUAUUAUUGGGUAAAACCAUGUGAAACUGCCAUUUGUCUAAAUUA